GUGUAGGGGUAAAAUCCGUAGAGAUCAGAAGGAAUACCGAUUGCGAAGGCGAUCUACUGGAACAUUAUUGACGCUGAGACGCGAAAGCGUGGGGAGCAAACAGGAUUAGAUACCCUGGUAGUCCACGCCCUAAACGAUGUACACUAGUUGUUGUGAGGCUCGACCUUGCAGUAAUGCAGUUAACACAUUAAGUGUACCGCCUGGGGAGUACGGUCGCAAGAUUAAAACUCAAAGGAAUAGACGGGGACCCGCACAAGCGGUGGAGCAUGUGGUUUAAUUCGACGAUACACGAAGAACCUUACCUGGACUUGACAUAGUAAGAACUUUCUAGAGAUAGAUUGGUGUCUGCUUGCAGAAACUUAUAUACAGGUGCUGCACGGCUGUCGUCAGCUCGUGUCGUGAGAUGUUGGGUUAAGUCCCGCAACGAGCGCAACCCUCGUCAUUAGUUGCUAACAGUUCGGCUGAGAACUCUAAUGAGACUGCCUACGCAAGUAGGAGGAAGGUGAGGACGACGUCAAGUCAUCAUGGCCCUUACGUCCAGGGCUACACACGUGCUACAAUGGGAUAUACAAAGAGCAGCAAUACGGUGACGUGGAGCAAAUCUCAAAAAUAUCUCCCAGUUCGGAUUGUAGUCUGCAACUCGACUACAUGAAGUUGGAAUCGCUAGUAAUCGUAGAUCAGCUAUGCUACGGUGAAUACGUUCCCGGGUCUUGUACUCACCGCCCGUCACACCAUGGGAGUUGAACUCAUUCGAAGCGGGGAUGCUAAAGUAGCUACCUUCCACAGUGGAUUCAGCGACUGGGGUGAAGUCGUAACAAGGUAACC
Molecule: ribosomal RNA, 825 nt
Filed under: uncultured bacterium
Lineage: Bacteria
Description: bacterial SSU rRNA
Rfam family: Bacterial small subunit ribosomal RNA
Source: RNAcentral